GAUGAACGCUGGCGGCGUGCCUAAUACAUGCAAGUCGAGCGAACAGAUGAGGAGCUUGCUCCUCUGACGUUAGCGGCGGACGGGUGAGUAACACGUGGAUAACCUACCUAUAAGACUGGGAUAACUUCGGGAAACCGGAGGUAAUACCGGAUAAUAUAUUGAACCGCAUGGUUCAAUAGUGAAAGACGGUUUUGCUGUCACUUAUAGAUGGAUCCGCGCCGCAUUAGCUAGUUGGUAAGGUAACGGCUUACCAAGGCAACGAUGCGUAGCCGACCUGAGAGGGUGAUCGGCCACACUGGAACUGAGACACGGUCCAGACUCCUACGGGAGGCAGCAGUAGGGAAUCUUCCGCAAUGGGCGAAAGCCUGACGGAGCAACGCCGCGUGAGUGAUGAAGGUCUUCGGAUCGUAAAACUCUGUUAUUAGGGAAGAACAAAUGUGUAAGUAACUAUGCACGUCUUGACGGUACCUAAUCAGAAAGCCACGGCUAACUACGUG
This 497-nucleotide ribosomal RNA is filed under the name uncultured bacterium. Its description in RNAcentral is "partial 16S ribosomal RNA". It matches the Rfam family "Bacterial small subunit ribosomal RNA", at positions 28 to 507 of the family's 1533-position model. The record is from RNAcentral.